GGGGGAACGCGAAGAACCUUACCAGGUCUUGACAUCCUCUGACAACCCUAGAGAUAGGGCUUUCCCUUCGGGGACAGAGUGACAGGUGGUGCAUGGUUGUCGUCAGCUCGUGUCGUGAGAUGUUGGGUUAAGUCCCGCAACGAGCGCAACCCUUGAUCUUAGUUGCCAGCAUUCAGUUGGGCACUCUAAGGUGACUACCGGUGACAAACCGGAGGAAGGUGGGGAUGACGUCAAAUCAUCAUGCCCCUUAUGACCUGGG
RNAcentral lists this ribosomal RNA (259 nucleotides) under uncultured Bacillus sp. Its description in RNAcentral is "partial 16S ribosomal RNA". It matches the Rfam family "Bacterial small subunit ribosomal RNA", at positions 953 to 1213 of the family's 1533-position model. The record is from RNAcentral. Lineage: Bacteria; Bacillati; Bacillota; Bacilli; Caryophanales; Bacillaceae.